UCGAGUCGGUGAUGCCAUCCAACCAUCUCAUCCUCUGUUGUGCCUUUCUCCUUCGAGAAGUGUUGGCGCAAAGAUUGGAAAGCUGCCUCUGAGACUCUGAAGGUUUACCUGCUGAUACUCGCUCCUUCCCAGUAACCCUCCAUCCCAAGGGGAGCCCCAGAAAGAACACCAGGGGGGCCUCCCUGCUGCCGCAGAACCACCUCACCCGCCACUCCAGCACUAAGUCAGAGCUGCCUGAGGAAGACUCCGCACACGUUUCCCUCGAGCUGGUCUGCAGGCCCCUCUGGCUGGGACCCUGUCCUGGGAGCUGCCCGUCUGCAAACAGAGAGCCCACAGUGCCUCGGGAAAAAUUGGCUGAAUAAAAGAUGCGUUGGAGGGAAGGACAGGAGAUACAGGAACGAGGAUGGAGCAGAGCAAGAUGGGGUUGAAGGAGCGUCCACAGAAGCUUCUGUGCAGGCCAGGCUGAGAGGUCACUACCCAGAAGGCUGAGGGUCCCCGAUGCUGGCCGGGCUCCAGAGACUCCUGAACUUGUGGAUGUGGAGUUUUUCCUCCUCCAGUUUUGUGAUGAAUAAAUUCACUUGUCUCCCCA
This 589-nucleotide long non-coding RNA is filed under the name Bos mutus (wild yak). RNAcentral's name for it is "lncRNA (ENSBMUG00000021514.1)". The record is from RNAcentral. Lineage: Eukaryota; Metazoa; Chordata; Mammalia; Artiodactyla; Bovidae.